AGGCGGAAGUCAUCUGCUGUAGAAGCUCGGAUGAAAACUUUUUGUUGGAGAAGUCCGGUGGGAGUCCGAUUGCUAAAGAAGUCCGUUUGGAAUUUGCCUGGUGUGGAAGCUCGUCUGAAGAUUGUCCACCGGAGAGGUCCGAUUUCAUAAGGAAUCCGACAGAGGGUCGACCGACAGUGAAAUUCAGAUGGCGCUGUGGAGGUUCGUCCGCUGGAGGAGUCUUGAGGAUACUGUGGA
This 237-nucleotide long non-coding RNA is filed under the name Elaeis guineensis (African oil palm). Its description in RNAcentral is "long non-coding RNA (EGUI_LNC013288)". The record is from RNAcentral. Lineage: Eukaryota; Viridiplantae; Streptophyta; Magnoliopsida; Arecales; Arecaceae.